RNAcentral lists this ribosomal RNA (253 nucleotides) under uncultured bacterium. Its description in RNAcentral is "partial 16S ribosomal RNA". It matches the Rfam family "Bacterial small subunit ribosomal RNA", at positions 524 to 776 of the family's 1533-position model. The record is from RNAcentral.
UACGAAGGGGGCUAGCGUUGUUCGGAAUUACUGGGCGUAAAGCGCGCGCAGGCGGCUAUCCAAGUCAGUGGUGAAAGCCCGGAGCUCAACUCCGGAACUGCCAUUGAAACUGUUUAGCUUGAGGACGAGAGAGGUGAGUGGAAUUCCCAGUGUAGAGGUGAAAUUCGUAGAUAUUGGGAAGAACACCGGUGGCGAAGGCGGCCUGCUGGGAUCUUGCUGACGCUGAGGCGCGACAGCGUGGGGAGCAAACAGG